AGUGAACGCUGGCGGCGGGCCUAAUACAUGCAAGUCGAACGGACGGACGGUGAGCUUUCUCCUCUACGGGUAGCGGCUGACGGGUGAGUGAGGCAUAGAUAACCUACCUAUAAUACGUGGAUGACUUCGUGGAGCCGGAUCUAAUACUAGCUAAUAUGUUGAACGGCUUAGUUCAAGAGUUAUUGGCGGUUUUCGUGUCACUUUUAGAUGAUGUCGGGCCGCAUUAGCUAGUUGGUAAGGUAACGGCUUACCAAGGCGACGAUGCGUAGCCGACCUGAGAGGGUGAUCGGCCACACUGGAACUGAGACACGGUCCAGACUCCUACGGGAGGCAGCAGUAGGGAAUAUUCCGCAAUGGGCGAAAGCCUGACGGAGCAACGCCGCGUGAGUGAUGAAGGUCUUCGGAUCGUAAAACUCUGUUAUUAGGGAAGAAAAAAUGUGUAAGUAACUCCGCACGUCUUGACGGUACCUAAUCAGAAAGCCCCGGCUAACUACGUG
This 497-nucleotide ribosomal RNA is filed under the name uncultured bacterium. RNAcentral's name for it is "partial 16S ribosomal RNA". It matches the Rfam family "Bacterial small subunit ribosomal RNA", at positions 29 to 507 of the family's 1533-position model. The record is from RNAcentral.